Molecule: long non-coding RNA, 2192 nt
Organism: Cynocephalus volans (Philippine flying lemur)
Lineage: Eukaryota; Metazoa; Chordata; Mammalia; Dermoptera; Cynocephalidae
Exons: 4
Source: RefSeq, a predicted model, not a curated record
GGGAGAGCGGCUCGGGUACCUGAGAAGUGUCCUCAUCGUAUUUUAGGUCAGUUUUGCCUUUUCGGAGUUACUUAGAGGCUUCUCUGCCUCCUGCUUUGCGUCCCCCGAUCCGGGCGGGGCGUGGGGCCGCGUCGCCAGUGCUUUUGUCGCCGUUCGUUGUCCGCGUUCCGUGGAGUGGGUUUGAAUCCUGCGGGAACCCUGAGCUCCGGAGGCGGGUGCUUAGCUGCGGAGCGCGGUGCUGAUUUGUGUCCUGGAGGUUUUAUUGCUCCGUGUCUUGAAAAACAAGCUGCAGGUGCAGGCCUGGGGAAGUCUCCUGUCUGGACAGUGGGAAGAGAGCAACGCAGAAGGACACCGGCUCACUAGUGCCUUUACAUUGGUUUGGCUUUAGCUGUGCAGCACUGAUUGCUUCUGGUGGGAUCAUUGGCUAUGCAAAAGCAGAUUCAACUAAGAAGUCUUGAUUGGCCACCUACGAUGUGCAGGAACCAUGAUAAGAGCCAAGGAUAUAAAGUUGCAUAAGAACCUUUCCUUUCUCAGUACAGUGAAGACACCUGUAUUUUUUUUUUUUUUUUAAUGGUGGUUGUUAUUCUGAGUUCUGGAGAUACAAGAAUGAAAAGACCUGUUCCUACUCAACAACAAUGACAAAACCCAAUUAAAGAAUAGGGAAGUGACUUGAAAUAGACAUUCUCCAAGGAAGACAUACAAACUAACAAGCUGGUUAAAGGGCAGUAUCAUUAAGCAGCUAUCAGCACAGGGGCUACAAGAGGACAAUGGAGGGGCAAGUAAAUCAGACUUGGAGGAAGGGAAGAAAUUUCAGAAAAGAUUAUACUGCAGCCAAGGUUUUUUUUAAAUUUUGGUUCUGAGGUAAACAUGAAGAAGGAUGUUAGCCAUUCUACUGCAGAAACUAGGCAGUGAUACAAAAACAACUGUUUUUCGCUAAACUCUCCAGUCUAUAGACUUCUCCAACUGGGCAAAUCAAGACUCUGCUGACAGAGAGAUUUCUCCUAGAGAGCAUGCAGGGGUAUAGGUGCACGGCCAUCCAGUGGUAAGAUGGGGGGUGCCAAUCAAUUGUUUUUCAUGUGCUCCUUCUAAGCCACUACUGGAAGAUUUGGAGGCUUUUGAGGGGAAGGAAAUGACCCAAAGUUAAUCAAUGAUGGUGGCCAAAAGAGAUGGGCAGAAGUUUUGUUUAACGCCCCCCAAGGAGAGAUGCCACCUAUAUUGCAUAUGUGUUUUUCUAAGGAGCACUAACUAAUAUUUGUGCAAGUCUGUGUAAGUAUACUCUGUGAUGUUCGCACAAUGAUGAAAUCACCUAAUGAUGCAUUUGUCAGAAUAUGUCCCCAAGGUUAAGCAUCAUAUGACUAUACUUAAAAAUAGUAAAGAUGGUAAAUUUUGUGUUCCAUGGAUUUUACCACAGUUUUUUUUUAAAAAGACCUGUCCUCUAUCUUCGGACUGCUUAUAUUUCUGUGCUAGUAAGGUGACUUACCAAUCCUCCAUCCAAGGUCUUUCACCGCUCUUCUGUUUAGAUGCUUCAUCCCCACAUAGGUGAGAUGUCUUCUGUGUGGAAGAAGGUUUUCUGCCUCUUCCAUAAACAUGCUUCUUUAAUUUACAGAUCAGAGACCAGAGGCUUAGUGAAGGAGACUUGCUCAGUGUCAGAAAAUUACCACAGAGCCCAGGAAGGCCCCGAUGCUCACUUGAAAGCAUUGUUCUUUUUCAUCUGGAAGGGGCCUUUGAUUACACUGUCCUCAGCACUCAUAGAGCCAUCAGCUCAGACAAACGCACUGGCAGUCAGUGCCAGGCAAAAUAGCAUGAUCUUACUCCAGGACCAAACUCAUCAGGGCCUUCCUCCUAGCUCUUAUGUUCAGACAAAGCAGGUCUCCAGGAAGAAUGUCUCAUUCCCCAAAUCCUCUUACCGUCUCCUUGAGAUGGAGUUCAAGAGCUCUCUUGGCUGUGCAUCCCCACCCCAGCCUUUAUGCUGGUGGUAGCAGAGUCAGAAGAGAGCCACCACCUUCUCUUCUUGAGUCUUCACCUCUUCUUUGAGCAAGUUGCUCAGAAAUACUCAGAGCCACUGAGGCUCAGAGUUAGAAACAGAGAUGGGUCUUCCUCCUUCUUUGAAUAAUGAUAUCCAGAAGUGGUCCAUCUUAGAGGGCUUGAGUGCCACCAAGAUACAGGCAGGAAAGGGGGGAAAGAGAGAAAGA